Molecule: ribosomal RNA, 649 nt
Filed under: Bacillus cereus
Lineage: Bacteria; Bacillati; Bacillota; Bacilli; Caryophanales; Bacillaceae
Description: bacterial SSU rRNA
Rfam family: Bacterial small subunit ribosomal RNA
Source: RNAcentral
GCAGUCGAGCGAUGGAUUAAGAGCUUGCUCUUAUGAAGUUAGCGGCGGACGGGUGAGUAACACGUGGGUAACCUGCCCAUAAGACUGGGAUAACUCCGGGAAACCGGGGCUAAUACCGGAUAACAUUUUGAACCGCAUGGUUCGAAAUUGAAAGGCGGCUUCGGCUGUCACUUAUGGAUGGACCCGCGUCGCAUUAGCUAGUUGGUGAGGUAACGGCUCACCAAGGCAACGAUGCGUAGCCGACCUGAGAGGGUGAUCGGCCACACUGGGACUGAGACACGGCCCAGACUCCUACGGGAGGCAGCAGUAGGGAAUCUUCCGCAAUGGACGAAAGUCUGACGGAGCAACGCCGCGUGAGUGAUGAAGGCUUUCGGGUCGUAAAACUCUGUUGUUAGGGAAGAACAAGUGCUAGUUGAAUAAGCUGGCACCUUGACGGUACCUAACCAGAAAGCCACGGCUAACUACGUGCCAGCAGCCGCGGUAAUACGUAGGUGGCAAGCGUUAUCCGGAAUUAUUGGGCGUAAAGCGCGCGCAGGUGGUUUCUUAAGUCUGAUGUGAAAGCCCACGGCUCAACCGUGGAGGGUCAUUGGAAACUGGGAGACUUGAGUGCAGAAGAGGAAAGUGGAAUUCCAUGUGUAGCGGUGAAAUG